CGGGCCGUGGUAUAGUGGUAUUACGUACGCUUCGGGUGCGUAUAACCCGAGUUCGAUUCUCGGCGGCCCGA
RNAcentral lists this transfer RNA (71 nucleotides) under Parcubacteria group bacterium 21-54-25. RNAcentral describes it as "tRNA-Pro". It matches the Rfam family "tRNA". Rfam says of the family: Transfer RNA (tRNA) molecules are approximately 80 nucleotides in length. The record is from RNAcentral. RNAcentral also lists the same sequence under 2 other names.